UACAGAGGUCUCAAGCGUUGUUCGGAUUCAUUGGGCGUAAAGGGUGCGUAGGCGGCGUGGUAAGUCGGGUGUGAAAUCUCGGAGCUUAACUCCGAAACUGCAUUCGAUACUGCCGUGCUUGAGGACUGGAGAGGAGACUGGAAUUUACGGUGUAGCGGUGAAAUGCGUAGAUAUCGUAAGGAAGACCAGUGGCGAAGGCGAGUCUCUGGACAGUUACUGACACUGAGGCACGAAGGCCAGGGGAGCAAACGGG
This 253-nucleotide ribosomal RNA is filed under the name uncultured bacterium. RNAcentral describes it as "partial 16S ribosomal RNA". It matches the Rfam family "Bacterial small subunit ribosomal RNA", at positions 524 to 776 of the family's 1533-position model. The record is from RNAcentral.